GGAAGAAAAACAACUAACUUUGCAACAAUCUGUUCAAAAAACAAUGAGAGUUACCAAAUGCCAGACACUGCUAAGUGCUGGGAACUUAGAUGUAACCAAAGACUUACAAGAUACUAGUCUUUAAGACAGGCUUUAAGAAAUUUUCAAGUGUAGGGUAAGGCCAUCUCCCUAGCAGGUAAAUACUGACAUGGUGAAGAUAUGUAUUGGGUGAUAUGAGAGCCCAUAGGAUAGACAUCUAGAGAAAGUUUAAUAGCAACACUAGGCUGGACUGAGUGGUGAAUGGGUUGAUAUAGCAAUUUAAUAAACGUGUUAUUGCCAAUUUAGGCAUUUUGCUCAUAGCUUAGGGCAAGUGAUAAAAAAUAGAGCUUAACAAAGGACUGUAUGUUUUAGUUUGACAGCAGUGUCUAAAUUACAGAUUAGAGAACUAAUGACCAGCCAUACUGAAGACAAUUAUCUGGAAAUGCCUUCCCUAAGUGCCAACAGAUAAUGAAAAUACAAUCAAUAGCUUUAAGUGACCUCAUGCAUCUUAAUGCCUUGCAAGCAACAUGUUUUUCUGACUUCCAAAUAUAAACAACCUAAGCAUUGUGCAGUAGCCAUGAGGGAUUAGGUAUCCAAGUGCACAUUGUAUUGGCUUUGUACAGCCCUUGGAGGGAGUAAUAGUUUCAGAGUCAUGAAAUAAAUCAUAAGUAGCUGUUCUGGUGCUCUCUAGAGGCAGAACUUGCUGAACUUAAAGACUGUUAAUGGUACAAGUGAAAAACCUCUCAGCCCUACACAGCAUCUUUAAGAAAGCUUUAAUUUUGGUUUUUCAGAGCAAUAUUCACAUGACAUCUUUAGGAUCUGGAAUCUUAUUACCAUUAGGUUGGAACUCUACCUAAACUAAAAAUAAGUGGUCUCUAUCAAGUUGAAAUUACUUUAAUAUUUUCAUACUAUUUAUUUAAAUACGGAGAACAUGUCUAACCAUUCAGGGCCAUUUAAUUAUCAAAUUAUUAAUGAUUCUUCCAUAAUAAACAAACAUAAACUGUCAUAUUUGUUGACUUAUAUUUCAUUCCGUGAAAUUCAAAUUUAAUUAAUUGAUAAAGCACAUUGUACUUUAUAGUAGUUUAUUCCUUAAGUGUUUGAAUUUACACUUUUUUCCUCCUGUAACAGAAUCUAUUCCCAAGGCAAUCAACAUUUUAAUGGAAUGAACUGAGGUUUGCAAUUGCUAAUGUUAUUCUCCCAUCCCAGUUUUUACUUGUUUCUUGUAAAAAAGGAGGUUUCUAAAUCUUGACUCUUGAUUGACAAUUAAUGGGCCAAGUUUCCCCUUAGCAAACACUUUUCACUACACACUAAUAUUAGUAUCUAAAUUAUAUUAAAAUCUCUGUAAUAUGGUAGCAAUUGACUUGAAAUUUGUGAUACUUCAACUUGUGCUAGGUUGUAGUUUUGCUUGUAUCACUCAUAAAGAAUUACUAAAAAUGCAAAGGGCAAAUUUGAAAUAACUAUAAGAAUAAACCUUUAAUGAACUUUUUAAUAUGAAAUACUCAAUUGUAAAUAACCAUUAUCUUUACUGAAUCAGGAGAUGUUUCAUUAACUGUUACCAGUUAUUUAGAGUUAUUUAUAUAUUACAGAAUUUUGAACUAAAGGUAAAGAUCAUCUAGCUGAAUUUCCUUUAUAUUAAAGAGGAGGAGAAAAUCUUAAUACUAAGUAUGUAUGAGCCUGGAGCAGCCAUGGAGCAAGUAGAGAGGGUCUCCUAGGUGAUACCAACUCAGGAAAGCAGAAUCAAGCAAUAAAGAGACAUUUUGGGCCUGAUGACAUCAUUUCAGCACCUGGAUCCAGCAAUGCCUGAAGAUGUGACUCCUAGACUUUUCAAUUACAUGAGCCAAAAUGGUUCCUUUGUGUCAAUAAAUUGCUCUGUGAUGCAUUUUAUAAUGUACAACCAAGAAUCUUAAUAUUUAUUAUUUUGCAUUAAAUAUCAGUUAAGUUUGAUAUAAAAAUCUCAGUAAAAUUCAUUAAUUUGAGAAUGUAUAUCAUAGUUAAGUUUGAAACCUACAUAAUUUUCAAUAUUUAUACCUUUUACUGCAAAAAUAAAAAUGAGUUUAUCCUUGCCCUAAAGCUGUAAAAUUAAACUCUGUACAAUUCUAGUUAUUUGAAAUAUAAAAUAAAAUUAUUGGCCAUUUCAUG
This 2157-nucleotide long non-coding RNA is filed under the name Macaca fascicularis (crab-eating macaque). RNAcentral's name for it is "lncRNA (ENSMFAG00000047228.1)". Lineage: Eukaryota; Metazoa; Chordata; Mammalia; Primates; Cercopithecidae. The record is from RNAcentral.